Molecule: ribosomal RNA, 515 nt
Filed under: uncultured bacterium
Lineage: Bacteria
Description: bacterial SSU rRNA
Rfam family: Bacterial small subunit ribosomal RNA
Source: RNAcentral
GAUUCUGGCUCAGGAUGAACGCUAGCUACAGGCUUAACACAUGCAAGUCGAGGGGCAGCAGGACGAUAGCUUGCUAUUGUUGCUGGCGACCGGCGCGACGGGUGGGUAACGCGUAUCCAACCUGGCCCGUAGUAGGGAAUAGCCCGGCGAAAGUCGGAUUAAUGCCCUAUGUUUUCCUUUGAGGACAUCUGAUUUGGAAUAAAGGUUCACCGCUAUGGGAUGGGGAUGCGUCUGAUUAGCUUGUCGGCGGGUAACGGCCCACCGAGGCAACGAUCAGUAGGGGUUCUGAGAGGAAGGUCCCCCACAUUGGUACUGAGACACGGACCAAACUCCUACGGGAGGCAGCAGUGAGGAAUAUUGGUCAAUGGGCGAGAGCCUGAACCAGCAAAGUAGCGUGCCAGGAAGACUGCCCUAUGGGUUGUAAACUGCUUUUAUGCGGGAAUAAAGUGCACUACGUGUAGUGUUUUGUAUGUACCGCAUGAAUAAGGACCGGCUAAUUCCGUGCCAGCCGCCGC